UGUAAUAUAUGGAGAAAAUACUAUUGAUUGUGGUGGUCAUUAAUGUAACAAGAGGAUUCUGAUAUGGUUACAGAUUUGUUCCUAGAUGACUAACGGAAUCAUCUAGAAUUGAAAGUUCAUGCAACAAAAUUAAAUAUGAAGGUAUGUUUUGCCAUAUAAUUCCAAGAUUUGGAAAGAAACACUAGAAAAUUUCAGAUCUCUACCCAAAAAAGAUGACAUUUGUAGAAUUUUGAUGAAAAUUGAAAUAUUUAUUUUUCAAAGGGUAAUUUUUUUUUCAAGGCUUCUGAACUCCCAUAAGAAAUUUUUAGAUUUCUAAGCAAAGAAAGAUAACGAGAAUUGAAGGCUGCCACCAAUAAAAAUACAAAAUACUCUAAUGAAACUUAUAAAAAAAGAUAACAAAAAAAAGAAAAAAAACUGUUCAACUUCAAACUGAAUAUCCAAGAGGAAUUGGUAAAAUAGGAAGUAUGAACCUGCUAAAAGAAGAAUGAGAGCAUAUACUUUCUGAAACUAGAAUUUUGUGAUAUGCACAUUUCACAUAUGAAAGGUCAACGUUUAUUUGUUCAUUUUUUAGUAGAAGGACAAUGACAAUUGUUGCUUUCAUACCUAAUGAGGAUUAUCUAAAAGGUUCAAUUAUUGAAAAGUCAAACUAAGCAAACAAAAAGAAAGUUGUGAAGCCCUACAAUCAGUAUAAAUUCAAUAUUUAAAGAAAUAUGAUUAUCCCUCAUGCUUCCUGAAAAUCACAUUUCUGUGACAAACAACCCCUCAUAUCAAAUGAAUAAAGGGAAAUUGGUCACUUAAAAAUUUCCCAUUUCCUUUCAAGGUAUCAACUUGAGUUGCAGAAAAUGAAAUCAAACAUUCAAGACAAGAGAAUGCAUUUCCCAAUUCUAUUAAACUAGAUCACAAACCAUAUCGGGUACAGGUCCAAUAAGACCUGGCUGGUUCAUUGAUUAGAUAAAAUCUAGCAAAUUAAUUGCUUCAGUUUUAUAUUUCAACUGUAUAUGUACCGAUAUUUUGAUUCACUGUUGAUACUCUCCGUCUCUAUUCCCUCAACACAAUGUUUUUGAGAAAGUAUUUGUUGCUUUAAAAAGGGGAUUCCUGCCUUCACCACCCAAUCAAGAGGCAAAACCAAGCAGCUGGUUCAUGGUGGCAGGACCCAGUUCACCUAAUCAAACCGCCAAAGGAUCCGAUUUGGUUUUAAUAACAUAGGUUUACACAUGCAACCCACAUGCUCACAAACCAAAGAAAUAUGAAAAAUAAAGAAAAAGACCUGCACACUUUAAGAAGCCUCCUCCAGAGGAUUACUAUGACAUGUAACAUACAUGCAAAUGCCUACUUUUAGGAUUAGAGAAAAAAAAGAAGAAAAAAAAGCAUAGUUACCUACCUGCUCGUUAAAUAGGUUUUAUACGAAGGAUCCAGUAAGUGCCUUCUCAUAAUAGCACUUAUCUAUAACUAGAAGGUGCAAAACAAGAAUACAAAAAUAUUCAAAUUAAUUGCAAAAAUAAACAACCUAAUCUCUUCCUCAUUACAAUUACAGUAACAAUAAAUGGGAAGUCAUUUAUAUUCAUGGAUCUUCCAAAACUAUUCAAAUUACCAAUCUAUACCACACACUCAACCAAGAUGGGGCCCGAAAUCUAAUGAACAGACGAAAUGCUACAGGUUCCUCCAGUAUACCUGAAUUUAUUUAAAAUCACUAGGAGCUUUUAAUAAAAAAUUUUCAGGGCACAAACUACAAAAAAACAGGGCAAUUUCAGACAAGUUUGGGUAUGUUGGGAAUGUUACUGAAUCCUCUUAUAGCUUAAUUUUCCAAAACAGAGAUGC
RNAcentral lists this long non-coding RNA (1818 nucleotides) under Amborella trichopoda. Its description in RNAcentral is "long non-coding RNA (ATRI_LNC000816)". Lineage: Eukaryota; Viridiplantae; Streptophyta; Magnoliopsida; Amborellales; Amborellaceae. The record is from RNAcentral.